Molecule: long non-coding RNA, 672 nt
Organism: Gossypium arboreum
Lineage: Eukaryota; Viridiplantae; Streptophyta; Magnoliopsida; Malvales; Malvaceae
Exons: 2
Source: RefSeq, a predicted model, not a curated record
UGGGUACAAAAGAAACCUCCUUUUUGGUCGUUUCGGCUCCCUGAGUUCGAAUUUAGGGUCGGUUUUUUUAGAAACUGGCCAAAAAAUCACCAAAAAGGCAAAGAACCCUUCGGCCACUUACGGUAGAAAACGAACACCAGCUACGACGAGGGAGCAUUUCAAGCUUUUAGAAGGGUCACAGUCGUUGGAUUUUCAAGUCAGGGACAAAUAUAGUAAGGUAUGGACCUUUAGGCUUUGCACUGGGAAAAAUGGUCACCUUAAGCCUGUGUUAACCAAAGGGUGGCGUGAUUUUGUUAAAAGAAUGGGUCUCAAGGUGGGUGAUAAGGUGAUUUUCGUUGUGCAUGGGAACCAUAAUGAUCAGCUUGGGAUUCAAGUUAAGAGGAACAUAAUGCUACUCGGUAAUGAGCAUUGGGCUAAUUUGUAAGUGACUUAUUGGCUCAAUGGGGGUCUAAAUUUGGUGAAAAUUUCAUGUGAAAAUGGGUCUAUCCUACUUGUUUGAUGCAUGUCUAUGUUAAAUAUUAUAUACAUAGCUAGGUUUCUGUUUCUCGAGCUACAAGCUUCCCGGUUAAUUUUGUGUCUUAUAGGGGUAAAACUACUAUAGAUGCCUUUAUACUAUGAAUCGAAUUGUAUUUUGUCUCCUCUAUUAAAAAAAAAUAAGUAAAUUAAUCCUCA